UGUGUGUGUGUGUGUGUGUGUGUGUGUGUGUGUGUGUGUAUAUACACACACAUAUACAUACAUACAUACAUACAUA
RNAcentral lists this microRNA precursor (76 nucleotides) under Pelobates cultripes (western spadefoot toad). Lineage: Eukaryota; Metazoa; Chordata; Amphibia; Anura; Pelobatidae. The record is from RNAcentral.